Molecule: non-coding RNA, 207 nt
Filed under: Lentilactobacillus curieae
Lineage: Bacteria; Bacillati; Bacillota; Bacilli; Lactobacillales; Lactobacillaceae
Description: Lactobacillus curieae T-box sequence
Rfam family: T-box leader
About the family: Uncharged tRNA acts as the effector for transcription antitermination of genes in the T-box leader family. T-boxes are found upstream of many aminoacyl-tRNA synthetase genes and some amino acid biosynthetic genes usually in Gram-positive bacteria.
Source: RNAcentral
UAAUCAGCAACGAACAAGAGAGUAUCCUGUGACUGGUUUUCAGAGAGAACGUCAUUUGCUGAGAGACGUUUAAUCAGAGCAGCGAGAAAGUAGCUUGUGAGCUAUCCAUUCGAAAUUGAGGGUGGAUCGGUAAGUUCGACCGUUAUUCGAUAUUAAGUGGGGUUAAUAGCCCAAUUUAGGUGGUACCGCGAGCAUCUCGUCCUAAUC